This 439-nucleotide long non-coding RNA is filed under the name Malus domestica (apple). RNAcentral describes it as "long non-coding RNA (MDOM_LNC014136)". Lineage: Eukaryota; Viridiplantae; Streptophyta; Magnoliopsida; Rosales; Rosaceae. The record is from RNAcentral.
UUGGUUAAGAUCAGCCGAACCCUAGUCUGAGAUGGAUUGAUGAGGUAGGUCGAAUCCUAGUAUAAUAAGGAGUCUCAAUAGGAUGAGAAUGCUGAGAUUUGAGAAGUGAAUGUGGCCAGAUAAAGAGUUUGGUUCAAAGUACUAAUGGAGGUAGCAUUGGUCGAGUCUUGGUGAGAUUAAGAUAAAGAAUCCUAAGCUUAGUAUAGUUCUGUUUCGGCCAUGACGAGAGUGGUUUCUAUAAAUAAGAAGGGAAUGCAUCAUUCAAACCCUCUCCAAUUCAACACACAAACUGCCAUGCGCAAACUCUGGAUAAACAGCAUUGCGUCAAGGCCGACUGGUUAUCUAUCCAAGUCUCGAUCGAGAAGGGUUUUCGAAUCCUUAUUGGCAGAGGUCAUCUCACGAGCCUUCUCAGCAAAGUGAGAUGUUACGAAUCAAUAGA